RNAcentral lists this transfer RNA (76 nucleotides) under Candidatus Hydrogenedentota bacterium. Its description in RNAcentral is "Candidatus Hydrogenedentes bacterium tRNA-Pro". It matches the Rfam family "tRNA". Rfam says of the family: Transfer RNA (tRNA) molecules are approximately 80 nucleotides in length. Their secondary structure includes four short double-helical elements and three loops (D, anti-codon, and T loops). Lineage: Bacteria; Pseudomonadati; Candidatus Hydrogenedentota. The record is from RNAcentral. RNAcentral also lists the same sequence under 1 other name.
CGGGGCGUAGCGCAGGGGGUAGCGCGCACGGUUCGGGACCGUGAGGUCGCUGGUUCAAAUCCAGUCGCCCCGACCA